This 1479-nucleotide ribosomal RNA is filed under the name Campylobacter jejuni. RNAcentral's name for it is "partial 23S ribosomal RNA". It matches the Rfam family "Bacterial large subunit ribosomal RNA", at positions 1 to 1508 of the family's 2925-position model. The record is from RNAcentral. Lineage: Bacteria; Pseudomonadati; Campylobacterota; Epsilonproteobacteria; Campylobacterales; Campylobacteraceae.
AGGUAAGCUACUAAGAGCGAAUGGUGGAUGCCUUGACUGGUAAAGGCGAUGAAGGACGUACUAGACUGCGAUAAGCUACGGGGAGCUGUCAAGAAGCUUUGAUCCGUAGAUUUCCGAAUGGGGCAACCCAAUGUAUAGAGAUAUGCAUUACCUAUAUAGGAGCGAACGAGGGGAAUUGAAACAUCUUAGUACCCUCAGGAAAAGAAAUCAAUAGAGAUUGCGUCAGUAGCGGCGAGCGAAAGCGCAAGAGGGCAAACCCAGUGCUUGCACUGGGGGUUGUAGGACUGCAAUGUGCAAGAGGUAAGUUUAGCAGAACAUUCUGGAAAGUAUAACCAUAGAGGGUGAUAGUCCCGUAUGCGAAAAACAAACCUUAGCUAGCAGUAUCCUGAGUAGGGCGGGACACGAGGAAUCCUGUCUGAAUCCGGGUCGACCACGAUCCAACCCUAAAUACUAAUACCAGAUCGAUAGUGCACAAGUACCGUGAGGGAAAGGUGAAAAGAACUGAGGUGAUCAGAGUGAAAUAGAACCUGAAACCAUUUGCUUACAAUCAUUCAGAGCCCUAUGUAGGAAUACAGGGUGAUGGACUGCCUUUUGCAUAAUGAGCCUGCGAGUUGUGGUGUCUGGCAAGGUUAAGCAAACGCGAAGCCGUAGCGAAAGCGAGUCUGAAUAGGGCGCUUAGUCAGAUGCUGCAGACCCGAAACGAAGUGAUCUAUCCAUGAGCAAGUUGAAGCUAGUGUAAGAACUAGUGGAGGACUGAACCCAUAGGCGUUGAAAAGCCCCGGGAUGACUUGUGGAUAGGGGUGAAAGGCCAAUCAAACUUCGUGAUAGCUGGUUCUCUCCGAAAUAUAUUUAGGUAUAGCGUUGUGUCGUAAUAUAAGGGGGUAGAGCACUGAAUGGGCUAGGGCAUACACCAAUGUACCAAACCCUAUCAAACUCCGAAUACCUUAUAUGUAAUCACAGCAGUCAGGCGGCGAGUGAUAAAAUCCGUCGUCAAGAGGGAAACAACCCAGACUACCAGCUAAGGUCCCUAAAUCUUACUUAAGUGGAAAACGAUGUGAAGUUACUUAAACAACCAGGAGGUUGGCUUAGAAGCAGCCAUCCUUUAAAGAAAGCGUAAUAGCUCACUGGUCUAGUGAUUUUGCGCGGAAAAUAUAACGGGGCUAAAGUAAGUACCGAAGCUGUAGACUUAGUUUACUAAGUGGUAGGAGAGCGUUCUAUUUGCGUCGAAGGUAUACCGGUAAGGAGUGCUGGAGCGAAUAGAAGUGAGCAUGCAGGCAUGAGUAGCGAUAAUUAAUGUGAGAAUCAUUAACGCCGUAAACCCAAGGUUUCCUACGCGAUGCUCGUCAUCGUAGGGUUAGUCGGGUCCUAAGUCGAGUCCGAAAGGGGUAGACGAUGGCAAAUUGGUUAAUAUUCCAAUACCAACAUUAGUGUGCGAUGGAAGGACGCUUAGGGCUAAGGGGGCUAGCGGAUGGAAGUGCU